UUCUCUCUUCAAUUCUUCUGAGAAAGAUUCCAUAUCUAGAUAUUUUCGUCAUCUUAUUGAGUUACAACAAUGGUCCGAUGACUAUGACCAUAAUAAAGUCAAAUCUAUCAGAGGAUUUUUUGUCUACAACAUCGUGCUAAAUGAAAAAUGAUGAUGAAUUAAUAGAUGAUUCAACGAUAAAUACGAGUUCCGACUCAAGCCUCGAAGGGCCAAAGCAGAAAAAUAUCGAUCUUCGGAUCGAGAUGAGUCUCAAGAAGAUCUAUAGGCCGACCCCAAUCGAUCGAAUCUACAUAUCGACUCUGGCUAGCAACUCUACAUGCCGACUUUGAUCGAUCGAAUCUACAUGUCGGCUUCGAUCGAUCGACUUAAUAUGUCGAUUUGAUUAUGUUCGAAUGGAACAAUAUGCCAACUCAACUAUAAUCGGACGAAAUAAUAUGCCGACUCGAUUAUAGUCGGAUGGAAUAAUAUGCUGACUCAACU
RNAcentral lists this long non-coding RNA (480 nucleotides) under Elaeis guineensis (African oil palm). RNAcentral's name for it is "long non-coding RNA (EGUI_LNC010032)". Lineage: Eukaryota; Viridiplantae; Streptophyta; Magnoliopsida; Arecales; Arecaceae. The record is from RNAcentral.